Triticum aestivum (bread wheat) is the source of this 2112-nucleotide RNA transcript. It is a transcript of the gene named probable protein phosphatase 2C 65, with no coding region annotated. The transcript is spliced from 5 exons. The record is from RefSeq and is a predicted model, not a curated record. NCBI's taxonomy places the organism in Eukaryota, Viridiplantae, Streptophyta, Magnoliopsida, Poales, Poaceae.
GCGUUUGAAUCAUUCAAUUCCAUUCCAUUCCAUUCCACCCAACCUCCCUUCCUUCCUCCUUCCCCUCCCAUUCAAUUUCCCAAACUCCCAUCCCCCACUCCGUCCGUCACUCACCCGGACCCCCAAACCCUAGCCCCCACGCGCACGCAGUCCAUGGGGUGCGCGCACGGCAAGUGCUGCCUGCCGCGGGGCGACGGCGGGGGGCGGCGGGAAGGCGGCGGCGUGCCGGGCGGCCUCGGCGGCUCCACCCUCGGCCGCGCCGCGGUGCCGGGGGCCGGCCUGGCGCUGGAGUACGCCACGCUGACGGUCGACGGCCUCUACCCGGACUCCCCGGGCCGGGAGACGCAGGACGCGUACCUGGUGGCCACGCGCUUCGCGGGCGACCCCGAUCUCCACCUCUUCGCCGUCUUCGACGGCCACGGCGCCUGCGGGGCCGCCUGCUCCGGGUUCGCGCGCGACGCGCUCCCGCGCCUCCUCCUCCUCGCGGCCGAGGACGACGGCGCCGGCGCCGGCGGGAGCCUCCUCGCGACGGACCCCGCGGGCGCGUUCCGGGCGGCGAUGAUUGGGGUCAACGAGGAGAUGCACGCGGCGCCGGCCGUCGACGACUCCAUGAGCGGGACCACGGCCGUGGCCGCGCUCGUGGCCGGCGGCGCGCUCCACGUGGCCAACGUCGGGGACUCGCGCGCCGUCGCCGGGGUCUGGCGCGACGGCCGCGUCGCCGCCGAGGAGCUGUCGUGGGACCAGACGCCGUUCCGCGCCGACGAGCGCGCGCGCGUCAAGGCCUGCGGCGCGCGGGUCAUGUCGGUCGAGCAGGUGGAGGGCGUGCGCGACCCGGACGCCGAGGGCUGGCUCGCCGACGAGGGGGACCCGCCUCGCGUCUGGGCCCGCGACGGCCUCUACCCGGGCACGGCCUUCACGCGCAGCCUCGGCGACCUCGCCGCCGAGGGCGUCGGGGUCAUCGCCGACCCUGAGGUGAAGACCGUGGAGAUCACCCCGGCCCACCUCUUCUUCGUCGUCGCAAGCGAUGGCGUCUUCGAGUUCCUCUCCAGCCAGGAAGUCGUCGACAUGGUGGCUAUGCAUCAAGACCCUCGAGAUGCUUGCGCAGCAAUCGCUGCAGAGUCAUACAAACUAUGGCUAGAGCACGAAAACAGGACAGAUGAUAUAACAAUAAUCAUCGUGCAUAUCCGGGAUGCUCAAAAUUCAGGUCCUGCAGGGAGUGACAAAGAGAACUCCAGCAGCACCGGGGCGCCGAUAGCAUUGCACACGGUACAGCCAGAGCUGCCUGUAUUUGUACCGUCGGAGCUACCUGUAUUUGUACCGUCAGAAGCAAGUCACCUGAACGCAGUGGCUACUGCUGAACUGCGGCGGCCAUCCUCCUCUGGCUCUCCAUCGGAACGACGCCUCUCAUGCGUUGCUCCUUCGCCUACACACCCUUUACUGGAAGGAGGUAAAGCAUCGGAAGCUUCCAGGUCGACCCAGAUCGACAUUCCUUUAUCCGAACCAGUGGAAGCUUGGCAUCCUAGUCAAGGUGGUAACAAGCUAGAGCGGGCAGUCUCCUGCUGACCAUGCAUGAGUCCUCUAGCUUAAAUCUCACAACAGGAGUGGCAGCACACCCGUCGUCAUCCCCCGUAAGGGGGGCUGACUUCCCGAACAGUGGGUGUGAUGCAGGCUGGCAAUGUUUGUUCUGCGCCGGUUGCAAGUUGCUCGUGUUUUCUUAGAGCACCUGCUGACUGACAAUGAAAAGGAUUCUGACCCAAACAGGGUCGUUUAACAUAAGGAUUGAUGGGCUUGAGCUUGUGGCAUUGGACGCCGCCAAGCGUUAACUGGAAAUGGAGUCAAGUAUCUGAAGAAUUUGUAUUUGUUAUUUAUCACAUCAUGUUAAGUUGAUGCUUGCAGACCUGCAGUCAUAUGGUAUGAGCUGCGGUGCAGUGUGAUACCGCAACGAAUAAUUGCCGCUUAUUCUUAAUCGGAUGGGAAGGAAGUGGUCUUUCAGUCUUUGUGAGUAGGAUAGUGAGAAAUGCUCAGGGCUUACUGAAAGAGACUCCUUAGCUUUAUAUUCCACCAAAAUGCCUUGUAUGCUCCUAAAAACUCUUAAUUUGGCAAGUCAUAUUA